CACCGCGGUUAUACGAGAGGCCCAAGUUGAUAGACUCCGGCGUAAAGAGUGGUUAAGAUAAAUUUUAAACUAAAGCCGAACGCCCUCAGGGCUGUCAUACGCGCCCGAAGGUAAGAAGCCCAAUCACGAAAGUGGCUUUAUGACAACUGAACCCACGAAAGCUAUGACA
RNAcentral lists this ribosomal RNA (169 nucleotides) under Oplegnathus conwayi (Cape knifejaw). Its description in RNAcentral is "partial 12S rRNA". The record is from RNAcentral. Lineage: Eukaryota; Metazoa; Chordata; Actinopteri; Centrarchiformes; Oplegnathidae.